Long non-coding RNA from Bos taurus (domestic cattle), 693 nucleotides. Lineage: Eukaryota; Metazoa; Chordata; Mammalia; Artiodactyla; Bovidae. The record is from Ensembl.
UCAUACUUACCUGGCAGGGGAGAUACCAUGAUCACGAAGGUGGUUUUCCCAGGGCGAGGCUUAUCCAUUGCACUCCGGAUGUGCUGACCCCUGCGAUUUCCCCAAAUGUGGGAAACUCGACUGCAUAAUUUGCGGGCAACUCAUACUUACCUGGCAGGGGAGAUACCAUGAUCACGAAGGUGGUUUUCCCAGGGCGAGGCUUAUCCAUUGCACUCCGGAUGUGCUGACCCCUGCGAUUUCCCCAAAUGUGGGAAACUCGACUGCAUAAUUUGUGGUAGUGGGGGACUGCAUCGGAGGAGGUGCUGGGAGUGGGGUGAUGCUUAAGGGUAGGUCCAAAGAAAACUAACCAAAAAGCACACAGGAUGCAGAUCGAGGAUGAGAUUUCCUUGCUCACAUAUGAGCCAUCUUCAGCAUUACUGACUGGGGCAUAGACAUGGAUUACUGUGAUACUGAAUGGUUUGCCUUGGAAACGAACAGAGAUCAUUCUGUUGUUUUUGAGAUUGCAUCCAAGUGCUGCAUUUUGGACUCUUUUAUUGACUAUGAUGGCUACUCCAUUUCUUCUAAGGGAUUCUUGCCCACAGUAGUAAGAUAUAAUGCUCAUCCGAGUUAAAUUCACCCACUCCAGUCCAUUUUAGUUUGCUGAUUCCUAAAAUGUUGAUGUUCACUCUUGCCAUCUCCUGUUUGACCGCUUCC